AUUUAUUGAGAAUGAACACAGUUGUUAGAACCUACGAGAAUUCUGAACUCUUAAUAAUAACAACAGCAGCCACCACCAGCCCCAUCAGGCCCCAGAAACUCAAACUGGGUAGUGCUCAGGCUGGGGGCCCAGGGUUUCCAACUUUUCCCUCUCUCCAGGGCACCUUGUGGGCAGAUGCUGCCUGCAAGCCUAUAGUUACUCCUUUCCCCAGCACUGAGGUUCUCUCUGUAGAAAAUGUCCCCGGUAAGUAAGCACUGACAGGUUUGCCUGUUAAAGGGUCUGGUGCAGCCAGAGUAAAGCUGGGCAGGCAGUCAGGAGGCCAUGAAACCUCCAGUCACUUCACCUCCCUGGACCUUUAUCUCCCCUGCUGUGAGAAGGGUGGGUGGGCCUGGGUGGCCUCAGAAGCCCAGGGCCCUCUGGAGCUUGGUGAUGCUAAGGCGCUGGUUGGAGCCUGCACUCGUGGAAACCCACACCUCUGGGUAAUGGGGGAGUCUGGGGCUAGCAGAGCCCAGAGCUCAUUUCAUCCUCCUCUCCUCCCUCUCCAGGAGGACUGCUCAGGCAGCUGAGGCAAGAGACUCCUGUCGCGAAGCUGUUGAGGAGACUCGGAGACUCUGGGCUCCCGCUAGGAGCAAGCAGGCGCGGUGCAGCGAGGCGAAGCCCAGGCGCGGGGCCCGGAACGCGGUGGUGCAGCUCCCCGGUCCCCGGGUCUCUGACCGCGGUGCUCUCUCCCGCCCCGGGCUGCGCAGCUGCUGACAGCUCCUGGGUGAUGGCGAACGGCUUGUGCUGUCACAUUUCCUUCCUGUAGGGAGGGGGUGGGGAGCUGGAGCCUGGAAGGGCCGGGACGGGGAGGGAGACUACCCAGGUGGAAGGCGGUGCAGAAGGUUGCUGGAGAGAAGACGCCCCGGGCAAUUUCUAGUGACGUCGUCUAGGCCGUAUCUACCUUCUGGGGUCAGGAGUCUUGCUACACCCUAACCCCGCCUCCUCCAGAGUCCUCCCAGGGUUUUUCCAGGGACCUGGUCAGCUUGAGGUCUUGGCAGCACUUGAAAAGCAGCGGUGGUUUUUGAUUUAGUUGUUUAAUUUUUAUUUUUAAAUAUUACAGUGGAAAGAACGUGGACUUUGGAGUCCCAUAGCCCUGGACUCCAAUUCGGUGGGUCGAAUACCUAGCUUUGUGACCCUUUGUGACACUCAACUGAGCUUCGUUUCACGACAGCUUUUUUCCCAUGGGGCUGCUGUAAGGCUUAGAUGCAAUAAUGGAGGUGAGGUUGCCCAGUCGGUAGCCUAAGACCCAGCGCUAGUGUCGGGGGAAUGUGCACUUGACCUCAACCAGUGAAGGCGAAGGAUAAGCUUCCAGGCCCUAAACCCGAGGGUCUCAGGCCAGGAGGC
This 1383-nucleotide long non-coding RNA is filed under the name Homo sapiens (human). Its description in RNAcentral is "HSALNT0021174". Lineage: Eukaryota; Metazoa; Chordata; Mammalia; Primates; Hominidae. The record is from RNAcentral.